This is a non-coding RNA of Oryza punctata, 203 nucleotides long. NCBI's taxonomy places the organism in Eukaryota, Viridiplantae, Streptophyta, Magnoliopsida, Poales, Poaceae. The record is from Rfam.
CCUCCGUAUAGUUGUGGGUUUUUGUGUCCAACAUUUGAUCAUCCAUCUCAUUUAAAAUUAUUUUAUAAUUAGUAUUUUUAUUGUUAUUAGAUGAUAAAACCUGAAUAGUACUUUAUGCUUGACUUAUUUUUUUAAUUUUAUAAAUUUUUUAAAUAAGACGGGUAGUCAAAUGUUGGAUACAGAAACCCACAACUCCACUUAAA